GCAGUUUUACCCAGAAAGAAGUUCUGCAGCUGAUCUGCAUCCUCCCUGGUCUCCACCCAACGCUUCAUGUGUUCUGUGUCUCUUAUGUUCACUUUAUGAGCAACCGGCUUCAGAGCUCUGCUGGAUAAAUCCAAUGUGAUUUAUGAAAAUGACAAUAAGACUCAAACUGCUUUGUCAAACACUGAUGGUCUGAUAUCAGAGCUAAAUCAGACGCUGUAUUUCUCUUUAAGCCGCAUAACGAGGCACGAUGCCUGCUGGAUAGAAGGUAUCACUUGUCCAAACAAGACUGCUGAGAGCAGCUGGACUGCUGAGAGCAGCUGGCCUGCACGACUUUGGGCUUAUUGAAUCGUAGAAGCCAAAACAUCCCAAAACUCCCAUCCAGGGUUUUCAGUGUUGGUGACCUAUCGUGUUUCCUCUGAAGACCUCAGCCUACUGUUUCAUAUCCUCGCUGACUGACACUGGGAGCGGUUUGCUGGCUGCUCGACUCCUGGAUUUCUUUGAUGGUCCUUGGCCAGGCUGCCAAAAAUUCACGUUUUAAUCCCUAACAGCUGACAAAGGAACAGGACUGCUCAGCAUUAGAUCAAGGAAGAGCUGCUCACUGGAAUGUACUGACGUGAUAAGACCCAUAAUGCAGCAGAUUUUAUUAUUAUUUUUUAAAUGUUGUUCCCUUGUCUGAAAAAAGUCCAAAAAUUCAGCAAAAAAUCCCCAAAUUUUUAAAAAUUUGCUAAAUCUUCAGGGUCCGUGUACGGAUCUGGUAAUUGGAUUUUCCGUUCUGAAACGGGUAUUGAAAAACAAAAAACGAGUGGUUAUUUGAUUUUCGUUUUAAAAUACAAAAAUUAAAAUUGAAAAACAAGGCGUUGUUCCUUUUCAUGAUCAAAAAGGGAUAUGCGAUUUAAAAAAAAAUGCUUUGAUUUUCGUUUUAUAUUUAGAAUAACAAGAAAGUAAAAUCAGUAAGAGACAGAAACGAAAGAAGGUCCGUUUUUUCAUUUACUGAGACCGGAAAUGGUCAUCAGCAAGUGUGGAGCCAAACAGAGUACGGUGCAUACACUGUAUAUAAAUUUUUUUUUCGUGAGUUUUCAUGGUCAAAAUGAGAGAUCAGGAGGCCGAUCUUAAAAUAAAUCAAUAUUGAUGUUUUUUUUUUUUUAUAGAGCGUUAAAGUAUUACGAAGCCAGGGGGCGGGACUACUUGAUUGACAGUCCGGUCUGGAAUGAUUGACAGGUCCUAUGGAGGAGGCAGCAGACCCUCUGCUCUCCUCGUUUGGAUUAAUUCUGAUAUAAUAAAUGUUGGUUUAUUUAUCGGUGGAGCAGCAGAACAUUUUCCACAGACAGCUUUCCUGCCCGUUGGCUUGUUUUAACCAGUUUUCUACCUUCGGCUGAUUCUACCAGCAGACACUGAAAGGACUCUGAUAGUUCGAGUGAAAGUAGCAGUUCCUCCUUAAGGUCAGAGAUUGCAGCAUCUGAGGGCCUCUUCAAAAGAAGACGUAGUUGAUGAAGGUGUUCUGGAGCAGGACCAGAAAGACCACGACCAAGCAGCCUUGAGAUCUUAGGCAGCAUCUCCCUCAGACAUCCACCAACCACUGGAACACAUCUCCAAAGUUCUGCCAGGCCAGCUCAGCUUCCCCUCAGAAGAAGUGCCGCCACCUGCCAGAUGAAGGAGCCUUUUGAGAAGCAGCUGGCAUCGUGAUUGGACUGUACUUUGGUCUGUUCCAAUCCAGCUUCAGCUCCAGAGACGGCAGGCGGGACGAGUCAACGGAGGCCGGGUGGACGAAGGCAUGCAGCUGAGUACAAUCCAGAAAACAACAGAGGAGGA
Long non-coding RNA from Amphiprion ocellaris (clown anemonefish), 1809 nucleotides. RefSeq lists it as uncharacterized. Lineage: Eukaryota; Metazoa; Chordata; Actinopteri; Pomacentridae. The transcript has 3 exons. The record is from RefSeq and is a predicted model, not a curated record.